GGAAAAUUCUUUAUGUUGAAUCAACAUCUGUCUCACUAGAAUUUGCACUCAUUGGAGACAUACAGAAUAAAAUGCCCAGUACUGCUUCCACAAAUAUUUGAGGACUACUAACACAUUUCCUUCCUCCGCUCCUUCCACAAGGCUUCUUUUCUUCCAGUGAAGCCUGCCCAGUGAUUUCAAACAGGGAGACAGUGUAGUGUAGUGGAAAGAACGCUACCUGGGCAACCAGCACGU
Molecule: non-coding RNA, 234 nt
Organism: Procavia capensis (Cape rock hyrax)
Lineage: Eukaryota; Metazoa; Chordata; Mammalia; Hyracoidea; Procaviidae
Source: Rfam